AACGAACGCUGGCGGCAGGCCUAACACAUGCAAGUCGAGCGCCCCGCAAGGGGAGCGGCGCACGGGUGAGUAACGCGUGGGAAUAUGCCCUGGGGCUGGGGAUAACGGCGGGAAACUGCCGCUAAUACCCGGUACGCCAUGAGUGGGAAAGGAGCAAUCCGCCCUGGGAGUAGCCCGCGUUGGAUUAGCUAGUUGGUGUGGUAAGAGCGCACCAAGGCGACGAUCCAUAGCUGGUCUGAGAGGAUGAUCAGCCACACUGGGACUGAGACACGGCCCAGACUCCUACGGGAGGCAGCAGUGGGGAAUAUUGGACAAUGGGGGCAACCCUGAUCCAGCCAUGCCGCGUGAGUGAAGAAGGCCCUAGGGUUGUAAAGCUCUUUCGGCCGGGAAGAAAUCGCACAGGUUAAUACCCUGUGUGGAUGACGGUACCGGAAUAAGAAGCACCGGCUAACUACGUG
Molecule: ribosomal RNA, 458 nt
Filed under: uncultured bacterium
Lineage: Bacteria
Description: bacterial SSU rRNA
Rfam family: Bacterial small subunit ribosomal RNA
Source: RNAcentral